RNAcentral lists this transfer RNA (73 nucleotides) under Chlorobium chlorochromatii CaD3. RNAcentral describes it as "tRNA-Thr". Lineage: Bacteria; Pseudomonadati; Chlorobiota; Chlorobiia; Chlorobiales; Chlorobiaceae. The record is from RNAcentral.
UGAUAUGCUGAAGCAUACUCAGGCUUUUGUUCAAUUGCUUUAUUAAAAUCUUCAAUUGCUUUUUCAAACUGAC